Helicoverpa armigera (cotton bollworm) is the source of this 941-nucleotide RNA transcript. RefSeq lists it as uncharacterized. The record is from RefSeq and is a predicted model, not a curated record. The transcript has 2 exons. NCBI's taxonomy places the organism in Eukaryota, Metazoa, Arthropoda, Insecta, Lepidoptera, Noctuidae.
AUGUCUACGGAAACAGCCGAAAAUUCCUCUUCUAAGAAAAUGUCGUUGAGCGAACAGUUUCCCAUCAAGGGAGAGCGCGAAACUCUUACCGCCUUUCUCACCAACUGCCAAAAUGCCUUAGAUUUAGCAUCACCAAGUCAAAUAGUUUUAUUAAAUAAAUAUAUUCUAUCACGCCUUGAAGGUAAAGCUCAGAUUGCGUGCUCUAAUAAAAUAUUUUCGGAUUUUAAUCAGUUGAAAUGUUUUCUUAAGCAAAAUUUCGGUGAGAGGAAGCAUUAUAAUCAUUUGUUGCUAGACUUACAAUCGUGCAGGCAAACAACAAACGAAACUGUUGCGCAAUUUGCCCUGCGUGUAGAAAGAUGCCUCACCGAUCUUCAAUCAGAAAUUUAUAAUUCUGAAUCCCUAAAGAAGGACAUAUCCGGUCGCAUCGCUAUGACCGAAGAUUUGGCAUUAUUUACUUUUAGUUUAGGAUUAAAUCCACGACUGAGUAAUAAUGUCAGAUGUAGAAACCCAAAAUCACUUAAUGAUGCUAUCAACGUGGCUCUCGAGGAGGAAAAGAUACAAAACCUCCUGUAUAAAACAUCUAUUAAACCUAAAUGUAGGAUCUGUGGUAAACCCGGGCACUCGGAUGCUGAAUGCCGGGAGAAACAAAAGCGCACAGGUCCACCAUUUACUCCUUCGGGGCCUCAACCAUCAACAUCAUUUUAUAACUCGGGGUCUCAACUUUUCUGCAAAUAUUGCAAAAACAGAGGUCACGAUAUUACUCAAUGCCGCAAAGAAAAUAUAAUAGCGAACGGCGUAAUACGUUUAAUUCCGAGAAUCGCGACCGUCCAGCUGCGAUGCAUCAUGUUACAUUCGAGCCGCCGAUAUCAUCGGCGCCGUCACCGACACCUUAUUAUGUUCCUUGUGAGAACGGCGACGACCCUGAAAACUCUUUAAACUAA